AUAUGUGUAAUAUAAUGGCGAGGUGGUGAUUGCGGAAUUUAUGUACAUAUACGUAUAGAUGUAUAUAUAACAGAGCGGUGCAGAGCAGCAGCAGCAGCAGCACUAGCCAACCAGCCACUGGCUGCCAUUACCCAUUUGCUAGUACAUAAUGCCAGGUGCUACCUCGUACACAUUUCUCUUCAAUGAAUUUUUUCAAAUAAAUGUAUGGGUGAUUCCACAGGAAUAGUGAUAUCUAUGGCAGUACGAUCGUAGCACAUUGGUAGAAUCUUGUAGAAAGAUAUUGAUGUAAUCCGAGUGGACUAAUUUUCAGGUACCUAUGACAAUCAGGAUGGCAUCUGGAGCACAUGUUCAGAGAGUCAUGCAGAACUCGUGGAGGCCAUAAUGAGCGGUGGAAACAUAUCCUUGCCAAUAUUUUUUAUAUUAAAAUAAUUUAUUUACUUUCAUACAAUUGAUAUACACGUUUAACACUUGAACGUCACAUCAAAAUUCAUUGAAUCUUUCCUCAUCAAGCAAAAAUACCAAUAAUACGCAAUAUUUAAUAGACUCUGUUACACAUUAGCAUACAUUUUUAUGUAAUCUGACGAAUGUAUUUCAGCUGCAGAAUUAUUCUCAAUUGUCUGUACAGUAUAAUGUCGUUGAAUGUUUAAGGAAAUUCCUUACUUAUUUUUUU
Molecule: long non-coding RNA, 670 nt
Organism: Fopius arisanus
Lineage: Eukaryota; Metazoa; Arthropoda; Insecta; Hymenoptera; Braconidae
Exons: 2
Source: RefSeq, a predicted model, not a curated record